Molecule: long non-coding RNA, 2742 nt
Organism: Cydia pomonella (codling moth)
Lineage: Eukaryota; Metazoa; Arthropoda; Insecta; Lepidoptera; Tortricidae
Exons: 3
Source: RefSeq, a predicted model, not a curated record
UGUGACUUAUUUGAAAUACUUGUAUUUCAAAUGCAAAUACAAAAUGCAAAAUACCUAUUUUGUAUUUUGUAUUUAAAUACCUUUUAAAGAAAACUAUUUUGUAUUUUAUUUCAAAUAGUUUUUGGGACCUAUUUUCUAUUUUCAAAAUACAAAAUACUUUUUAUUAGGUGAAGUAAGUAGGAGUUACAAUCUCUUCUGACGUUACAAUCCUUGCAACUCUCUCAUUCUUUUAUGUCGACCGGUCUGGCCUAGUGGGUAGUGACCCUGCCUAUGAAGCCGAUGGUCCCGGAUUCAAAUCCUGGUAAUUUGUGUGAUGAACACAGAUAUUUAUUCCUGAGUCAUGGGUGUUUUCUGUUUUUUUUUUUUGUGUAUUUAUUCACUAUGAAUUUUUUGAAACAGGGUUUAACACAAUAAGCCACUAUUGAAAACCUCUAGGGUUUAUGUAAUAGUUGGCGAGAUCGCGCGGACCGAUCCGCGUUUGCUUAAUACUAUUAUUACAUACUUAGUUAUGUUUUCCUGUCGAAGCUGUUAUUGUAUCUAUCGUUUAAAUAUCGACCUUAUGUAUAUGUACUUAAGCAUUUAUAAAUAUUUAUCAUUGUCUAGUACCCACAACACAAGCCUUAAUGAGCUUAUUACUGUGGGACUUAGUCAAUUUGUGUAGUAAUGUCCUAUAAUAUUUAUUUAUUAUUUUAACAUGGAACUGGUGAAUCUGUUUAGUAACGCCGCAAAUGACCACAAGCGUAGCGAGAGAUUAAAAAUGUUGAAUCUUAAGCGUUGCAAGGGUUUCAAGGCACGAGAGGUAAUAGUACAUUACGAUACAAGUGCGAAAAAUAGGAAAUUCGAAACGAGUGGCGAUAAAUUAAAACACGACCGAAGGGAGUGUUUUAAAUCGACACGAGUUGCGAAUUACCUAUUCGCACAUGUAUCGUACAAUGUUUUACAGUACAUAUGGCCCUUUAAAUGUUCGACACAGUAACAUAAUAUGCUACUUCUCGCACUAGUGCUAUAAAGUAGCCCCAUAUGUACUGUAAAAAUCAUUAUUGUGCACUUCAUGCAACUUGUUCGCGGUGCUGCACUAAGAAACGACUGUGCUUUUUUUUAAUGGUUAUUUUCCUACUAUAGUAUAGUAGGAAAAUAGGUAUAGUAACUAUACCUAUAUUAAUAUUAUAAAUGCGUAUAAAACUCUGUCUCACCGUCUGUCUGCAACCUCUUCAGAUUUGCCACUGAACCAAUUCAACCAAUUAAGAUGAGUUUUGGUAUGGAAAUUGAAGCUCGGAAAAGGACAUUGGAUAGUUUUAUCAAUCAUCAUCAUCAUUCAAAGCAGACGUCACGGGCAGAAGCUAGUACCAUAGAAUAAAUACUAGUGCUACCGUACAGAAAGGAAACUUCCUACAAAACCGAAUUUUCAAAGCGAUUCAGGGACGACCCAUGUUCUUUUUCUAAUUUCUAAUAUAUGGCACUAUCCUUUUCGGCUAGUAAGGGUUGUCAAAAUUCGAGUGAUUAUCUUAUCUGUGGUCGUGCACGCGAAGGAAAGUCAUGUUCUGCCAACGACGCAAAUAAUUGCUCGGAGCAAUGCAGGGGGCCUACCGCGAAAACCGAAAGUCGCAAAUUGCUGGGAUUUUUCAUUUAAGCUUUCACGAUUUUUACUCAUUAUUAACUAACACAAACGGGACUUAAUCGCGUAUUAAGUUUUAAAUUUACCUCCGACGUUUCGAGGACGGUUUCUUCUCCGAGACCACGGGGACAACGCCGUCCUCGAAACGUCGGAGGUAAAUUUAAAACUUAAUACGUGAUUAAGUCCCGUUUGUGUUAGUUAACAAUGCUGGGAUCUUUCUCUUUUACUCUCACUAAGACGUAAUUAGAGUGACAGAGAAAAAUGCCCGCGAGCCGAACGGAGCUGAGAACGCCCGAAUACUGCAGUUUCUCCCCUCUGCUAGUACCAAUAGAAACGCGAUUUAGAAAACUAGCCCGAAAAAUAAAUCAAAACAUAAUCUUGACUUUUUGUCUUGCAACUUUUCGCACCUAUCUACAUUAGAUCACCACGAAACGGGAAAAUACUCAAAACUCUUAAUUAUUCUAAAUAUCCUAGCGAUCCUCCAAAAAUGGCUUCCAAGCGAUAGAGACAAUACACUUUUUCCGUCCAUUGUUUCACCAAAUUAGGGGCGGGCGCUAAGUUUUCCACCAAUCAGCGCGCUCCAGAGCGGGACAGCACACAACUUGGACUACAAGUGAGACAGAGACGGGUAAUAAGUUGUGUUAUUUAUGUCAGAAGUUGCGAGUGAGUGGUUUUCCUCUGUAAUUGAUGCUCUCAGUCCGCUUUGGUUACAAAUUGGGAUUUUUAUCGGUGAAAUGGGUAGAAAAUUAAUUUUGGCAUCUAAAUUAUUCUGGGCGAUCGUUCACGCCAGAGUAGGUGGAUUUUGAUAAUGUUUCAUUAAUUUUAGUUUUUUGGAGCUUUUUUGAACAAAGUUUCUUUGUUUUUGUACAUUUUGACGACCGGUCUGGCCUCGUGGGUAGUGACCCUGCCUAUGAAGCCGAUGGUCCCGGGUUCAAAUCCUGGUAAGGCCAUUUAUUCGUGUGAUGAGCAUGGAUAUUUGUUCCUGAGUCAUGGGUGUUUUCUAUGUAUUUAAGUAUUUAUAAAAUAUUUAUAUAUUAUAUAUAUCGUUGUCUAAGUACCCUCAACACAAGCCUUAUUGAGCUUACUGUGGGACUUAGUCAAUUUGUGUAAUAAUGUCCUAUAAUAUU